UACGUAGGGUGCGAGCGUUAAUCGGAAUUACUGGGCGUAAAGCGUGCGCAGGCGGUAAUGCAAGACAGAUGUGAAAUCCCCGGGCUUAACCUGGGACCUGCAUUUGUGACUGCAUUGCUGGAGUGCGGCAGAGGGGGAUGGAAUUCCGCGUGUAGCAGUGAAAUGCGUAGAUAUGCGGAGGAACACCGAUGGCGAAGGCAAUCCCCUGGGCCUGCACUGACGCUCAUGCACGAAAGCGUGGGGAGCAA
Molecule: ribosomal RNA, 248 nt
Filed under: uncultured bacterium
Lineage: Bacteria
Description: partial 16S ribosomal RNA
Rfam family: Bacterial small subunit ribosomal RNA
Source: RNAcentral